AUUGAACGCUGGCGGUAGGCCUAACACAUGCAAGUCGAACGCGAAAGUCCUUCGGGAUGAGUAGAGUGGCGGACGGGUGAGUAACGCGUAGGAAUCUAUCCUGUAGUGGGGGAUAACGUUUCGAAAGGAACGCUAAUACCGCAUACGCCCCACGGGGGAAAGCGGGGGAUCUUCGGACCUCGUGCUAUAGGAGGAGCCUGCGUCGGAUUAGCUAGUUGGUGAGGUAAAGGCUCACCAAGGCGACGAUCCGUAGCUGGUCUGAGAGGAUGAUCAGCCACACCGGAACUGAGACACGGUCCGGACUCCUACGGGAGGCAGCAGUGGGGAAUAUUGCGCAAUGGGCGAAAGCCUGACGCAGCCAUACCGCGUGUGUGAAGAAGGCCUGGUUCGUAAGCACUUCUAGU
Molecule: ribosomal RNA, 404 nt
Filed under: uncultured bacterium
Lineage: Bacteria
Description: bacterial SSU rRNA
Rfam family: Bacterial small subunit ribosomal RNA
Source: RNAcentral